CGUGUAGGCGGUUUGUCAAGUCGGGUGUGAAAGCCUGGGGCUCAGCCCCAGAAGUGCAUCCGAAACUAGCGAGCUAGAGCGCGAUAGAGGAGGGUGGAAUUCCUGGUGUAGCGGUGAAAUGCGUAGAUAUCAGGAGGAACACCGGCGGCGAAGGCGGCCCUCUGGAUCGUUGCUGACGCUGAGACGCGAAAGCGUGGGGAGCAAACAGGAUUAGAUACCCUGGUAGUCCACGCCUUAAACGAUGGGUACUAGGUGUUCGGGGUGUUGACCCCCUGAGUGCCGCAGUUAACGCAUUAAGUACCCCGCCUGGGGACUACAGCCGCAAGGUUAAA
This 332-nucleotide ribosomal RNA is filed under the name uncultured bacterium. Its description in RNAcentral is "bacterial SSU rRNA". It matches the Rfam family "Bacterial small subunit ribosomal RNA", at positions 568 to 898 of the family's 1533-position model. The record is from RNAcentral.